This 75-nucleotide small RNA is filed under the name Arabidopsis thaliana (thale cress). RNAcentral describes it as "ATSL277070". The record is from RNAcentral. Lineage: Eukaryota; Viridiplantae; Streptophyta; Magnoliopsida; Brassicales; Brassicaceae.
AAAGUAUCUUGUUUGACAAUUGAAGAUACUUUCUCGUAUUGUUCUUUCUUCUCUGCUCAUUGUUAUUGUUUUUAU